GGGAAGUUUGGCUCAGUGGUAGAGUGCUUGCCUAGCAUGCACGAGUUCCUGGGUUCAAUCCCCAGCAUCACA
RNAcentral lists this transfer RNA (72 nucleotides) under Marmota monax (woodchuck). RNAcentral's name for it is "tRNA.Ala". The stretch from base 9 to 65 matches the Rfam family "tRNA", at positions 8 to 63 of the family's 71-position model. From Rfam's summary of the family: Transfer RNA (tRNA) molecules are approximately 80 nucleotides in length. Their secondary structure includes four short double-helical elements and three loops (D, anti-codon, and T loops). Lineage: Eukaryota; Metazoa; Chordata; Mammalia; Rodentia; Sciuridae. The record is from RNAcentral.